Molecule: small nucleolar RNA, 83 nt
Organism: Papaver somniferum (opium poppy)
Lineage: Eukaryota; Viridiplantae; Streptophyta; Magnoliopsida; Ranunculales; Papaveraceae
Product: small nucleolar RNA Z102/R77
Exons: 1
Source: RefSeq, a predicted model, not a curated record
GUAUGAGGUAAUGAUUAGGUAAUUCCCUAUUGGUUUGAUUGUCGAAAUGAUGUCAUACAUGUAUUCAUUCUAUCUGAUCAUUC